RNAcentral lists this ribosomal RNA (87 nucleotides) under Citrobacter koseri. RNAcentral describes it as "partial 23S ribosomal RNA". RNAcentral also lists the same sequence under 1 other name. The record is from RNAcentral. Lineage: Bacteria; Pseudomonadati; Pseudomonadota; Gammaproteobacteria; Enterobacterales; Enterobacteriaceae.
UAGGCCGGGUGUGUAAGCGCAGCGAUGCGUUGAGCUAACCGGUACUAAUGAACCGUGAGGCUUAACCUUACAACGCCGAAGGUGUUU